Molecule: ribosomal RNA, 1093 nt
Filed under: Capsosira brebissonii S23
Lineage: Bacteria; Bacillati; Cyanobacteriota; Cyanophyceae; Nostocales; Capsosiraceae
Description: bacterial SSU rRNA
Rfam family: Bacterial small subunit ribosomal RNA
Source: RNAcentral
CGAAAGCCUGACGGAGCAAUACCGCGUGAGGGAGGAAGGCUCUUGGGUUGUAAACCUCUUUUCUCUGGGAAUAAAAAAGAAGGUACCAGAGGAAUAAGCAUCGGCUAACUCCGUGCCAGCAGCCGCGGUAAUACGGAGGAUGCAAGCGUUAUCCGGAAUGAUUGGGCGUAAAGCGUCCGCAGGUGGCAUUGAAAGUCUGCUGUCAAAGAGUCUGGCUCAACCAGAUAAAGGCAGUGGAAACUACAAAGCUAGAGUGCGUUCGGGGUAGAGGGAAUUCCUGGUGUAGCGGUGAAAUGCGUAGAGAUCAGGAAGAACACCGGUGGCGAAGGCGCUCUACUAGGCCGCAACUGACACUGAGGGACGAAAGCUAGGGGAGCGAAUGGGAUUAGAUACCCCAGUAGUCCUAGCUGUAAACGAUGGAUACUAGGCGUUGCUUGUAUCGACCCGAGCAGUGCCGUAGCUAACGCGUUAAGUAUCCCGCCUGGGGAGUACGCACGCAAGUGUGAAACUCAAAGGAAUUGACGGGGGCCCGCACAAGCGGUGGAGUAUGUGGUUUAAUUCGAUGCAACGCGAAGAACCUUACCAGGGCUUGACAUGUCGCGAAUCAGGGGGAAACUUCUGAGUGCCUUCGGGAGCGCGAACACAGGUGGUGCAUGGCUGUCGUCAGCUCGUGUCGUGAGAUGUUGGGUUAAGUCCCGCAACGAGCGCAACCCUCGUUUUUAGUUGCCAGCAUUAAGUUGGGCACUCUAAAGAGACUGCCGGUGACAAACCGGAGGAAGGUGGGGAUGACGUCAAGUCAGCAUGCCCCUUACGUCCUGGGCUACACACGUACUACGAUGCGACGGACAGAGGGCAGCAAGCUAGUGAUAGCAAGCAAAUCCCGUAAACCGGCGCUCAGUUCAGAUCGAAGGCUGCAACUCGCCUUCGUGAAGGUGGAAUCGCUAGUAAUUGCAGGUCAGCAUACUGCAGUGAAUUCGUUCCCGGGCCUUGUACACACCGCCCGUCACACCAUGGAAGCUGGUAGUGCCCGAAGUCAUUACCCCAACCUUUCGAGGAGGGGGAUGCCUAAGGCAGGACUGGUGACUGGGGUGAA